This 853-nucleotide ribosomal RNA is filed under the name Montenegrina hiltrudae fusca. RNAcentral's name for it is "partial 16S ribosomal RNA". The stretch from base 354 to 595 matches the Rfam family "Archaeal large subunit ribosomal RNA", at positions 1787 to 2143 of the family's 2987-position model. The record is from RNAcentral. Lineage: Eukaryota; Metazoa; Mollusca; Gastropoda; Stylommatophora; Clausiliidae.
UAAAAUAAUCUUAGUGAUGAUACCCGAAAAUAUAAGAUCUAAGUGUAAUAUUAAGGUUUUAGACUAAAGUUAAGGUGCUGUAGCAUCAGCUCACAAUAAAUAAUACCUUAGUGGUGAAAGGCCUUCAAUUAUAUUGAUAGCUGGAUAAUUAUUAAAUAUAUUUAGUAUAUAUUACAUUUAUGAAGUGAUAAGAUUUCAUAAUAAGAAUUUAACGUAUACCUAUAACUACUAUUAACUAAUUCUUAACAGUAUUUACUUUAACUAAAAUAAUUUUACAUGCAAUAUUCUUUAAUAAUAAUUUAUUUACCUAAAUUAGUGAGUAAAUUUGAUAAUGUAUAAAUUAGUAUAUACUAUAAAUUUAAGUAAAUGAACUCGGCAAAUACUAUAUACGACUGUUUAACAAAAACAUAGCCGGUAGAUAUUAUAUUAUCGGUGUGACCUGCCCGGUGAGUUUUUAACGGCCGCAGUACUAUGACUGUGCAAAGGUAGCAUAAUCAUUUGACUUUUAAUUGGAGUCUAGUAUGAAAGGAAAAACGUAUAUAAGCUGUAUCUAUUGUAAGUUUAUUUAAAUUAUUUAUGGGGUGAAAAUGCCCUAAGUUUUAAAAAUAGACGAGAAGACCCUUAGAAUUUUAAGAAAGACAUAAACCAGUAUGAAGUGAUUUUUGUUGGGGCAACAUUUUUUCAUUUAAUAAAAAAUCAAUAUUAUAAUACAACGAAAAAGUUUAAAUAAAAAAAAAUUACCUUAGGGAUAACAGCAUAAUUUUAAAUAAAGAUUGUGACCUCGAUGUUGGACUAGGAACUAUUAAGGCUAGUCGUUUUAAUAUAAUAAGUUCUGUUCGAACUUUGCUUCCUA